This 796-nucleotide long non-coding RNA is filed under the name Brassica napus (rape). Its description in RNAcentral is "long non-coding RNA (BNAP_LNC011595)". The record is from RNAcentral. Lineage: Eukaryota; Viridiplantae; Streptophyta; Magnoliopsida; Brassicales; Brassicaceae.
UUUGGCUCCGACUGGUGACCUUUUCGGGAACACGAGGAACGAAUAGGAAAUGAACAUAUAGGAAUAAAAUGGCAGGAAUGAAAAUAAAUGUUUGUUCCUUAUCAAAUUUAACAAGGAAUGCUUUUGUUCUAUAUUUCUCUACACAAAAAGAAAUGGAGAGGAACAAGAAGGAAAAACUAUUCCUUGUGAAUGGUGAAUUUUUUUGGGAAUGAUAAGUAAUUCAGUGUUCCGUUUCGUCCCUUUUGUCUCUUCUUUUCUUUUCAUAUCUGAUCUCCCCUCCUUCUCUGCUCCAACCGCAGCCUCUCCUCCUCUGUUCUCUCAUAUGCUUCCGGACACCUCCGUAACGCCUCCAUGCUCCUCUGCUCCGUGGCCUCCCUCCUCCUCUGCUCCGUGACGCCUCAUCUCCUCCUCCACUCCGUGCGGCCUCCUCUCCUUCUUAGUUUUGUCAUGGCGGCUGCAAGAGGUAAAUUAGGUUUUGUCCAGUCUCACCUUAUAUAAAUCUCUCGCUUUCUCUCAUGUAUCUCUUUUCCCAAUAAUCCUACUUAUUUGCUAUUAUUAUUUUUGUUAAUGUUUUCUUAACAAUCGUUUGUUUAUUUGUGUAGAUCUAAGAAGUAAGAAGAGGAUAAAAUGAAGAAGAUGAAGAAAUGCAGGAAGAAAAUGUCUUGGCUGAGAGUGACAGGUUCGGUAACGGCGGCCUUCUCUGCCGCUGCUCGUUCUCCGGCGCCUGCAUCCACCACAAAGAUAUAUAUAUAUAUUAUGUGUAAUAUAUAUAUAUGUGACUAAUGUAAACAUAUUU